This 297-nucleotide ribosomal RNA is filed under the name Triticum aestivum (bread wheat). Its description in RNAcentral is "partial small subunit ribosomal RNA". Lineage: Eukaryota; Viridiplantae; Streptophyta; Magnoliopsida; Poales; Poaceae. The record is from RNAcentral.
AUGAUCGCUUUUAAUGACUUCAUCCGCUCUCAGCAAUUAAUUGAACUGCCAAUCAAGGGACGUGCUUACACAUGGAGCAAUAUGCAAACCGACCCCCUCUUGGAAUAGUUAGACUGGUUCCUCACAUCUCUCAACUGGACCUCAUCUUACCCUAAUACACUUGUCAUGCCGCUAGGGAAGCCAGUCUCUGAUCAUACUCCAUGUGUUGUCAAAAUUGAAACUUCUAUCCCUCGCAGCAAAAUAUUCCGAUUUGAGUCUUAUUGGGUGGAGCACCCAGGUUUUAUGGAUUUAGUUUAG